This 481-nucleotide ribosomal RNA is filed under the name uncultured Acidimicrobiales bacterium. RNAcentral describes it as "bacterial SSU rRNA". It matches the Rfam family "Bacterial small subunit ribosomal RNA", at positions 8 to 503 of the family's 1533-position model. Lineage: Bacteria; Bacillati; Actinomycetota; Acidimicrobiia; Acidimicrobiales. The record is from RNAcentral.
AGAGUUUGAUCCUGGCUCAGGACGAACGCUGGCGGCGUGCCUAACACAUGCAAGUCGAACGAGGUCCAUCCAGUGGCAACACUGGUGAAGAUCUAGUGGCGAACGGGUGAGUAACACGUGAGAAACCCACCCCGAUCUCUGGGAUAACAGGUGGAAACACCUGCUAACACCGGAUGCCUUCACCGCAUCGCAUGGCGUGGUGAAGAAAGGUUACGGAUCGGGACGGUCUCGCGGCCUAUCAGCUUGUUGGCGGGGUAAUGGCCCACCAAGGCUUCGACGGGUAGCUGGUCUGAGAGGACGAUCAGCCACACUGGGACUGAGACACGGCCCAGACUCCUACGGGAGGCAGCAGUGGGGAAUCUUGCUCAAUGGGCGAAAGCCUGAAGCAGCAACGCCGCGUGCGGGAUGAAGGCCCUCGGGUUGUAAACCGCUUUCAGCAGGGAAGAAACCAGACGGUACCUGCAGAAGAAUCUGAUUUCCC